Molecule: ribosomal RNA, 387 nt
Filed under: uncultured bacterium
Lineage: Bacteria
Description: bacterial SSU rRNA
Rfam family: Bacterial small subunit ribosomal RNA
Source: RNAcentral
GUAGUCCUGGCUGUAAACGGUGCACGUUUGCUGUGAGAGGAAUCGACCCCUUUCGUGGCGGAGCUAACGCGAUAAACGUGCCGCCUGGGGAGUACGGUCGCAAGAUUAAAACUCAAAGAAAUUGACGGGGGCCUGCACAAGCGGUGGAGUAUGUGGCUCAAUUCGAUGCAACGCGAAGAACCUUACCUGGCCUUGACAUGCACGUGGUAGAAGCCCGAAAGGGUAACGACCCCGCAAGGGGAGCGUGCACAGGUGCUGCAUGGCUGUCGUCAGCUCGUGUCGUGAGAUGUUGGGUUAAGUCCCGCAACGAGCGCAACCCUUGCGUCCUGUUGCCACCCCUACGAGAGUAGGGAGCACUCUGGACGGACUGCCUCGCUUCAACGGGGA